Ameiurus melas (black bullhead) is the source of this 71-nucleotide non-coding RNA. The record is from the annotation of a GenBank genome assembly. NCBI's taxonomy places the organism in Eukaryota, Metazoa, Chordata, Actinopteri, Siluriformes, Ictaluridae.
GGGUGCACAGUGGUGGUUAGCACGUUCGCCUCACACUUCCAGGGUCGGGGGUUCGAUUCCCACCGUGGCCA